AAGCCAUUUCAAAGAGAACUUGUGGGGAUGUGAAACCAGGAGCCCUAAAUGCUGUGACCAAAGGUUGGGGUUCUCCAUAAGACAUUAUA
Panthera pardus (leopard) is the source of this 89-nucleotide small nucleolar RNA. NCBI's taxonomy places the organism in Eukaryota, Metazoa, Chordata, Mammalia, Carnivora, Felidae. The record is from Ensembl.